Molecule: transfer RNA, 65 nt
Filed under: Scolytinae sp. BMNH 1040327
Lineage: Eukaryota; Metazoa; Arthropoda; Insecta; Coleoptera; Curculionidae
Description: tRNA-Ser
Source: RNAcentral
GAGCUAAGGAACCCAAGAAAGAGCUUCUAACUCAUUCUUAAGCGAAUAAUCCCGUUUUUAGCUCU